CUCGUAGAUUAGAGUUUGAUCCUGGCUCAGGAUGAACGCUAGCGGCAGGCCUAACACAUGCAAGUCGAGGGGCAGCGGGGAUAAGCUUGCUUAUCCGCCGGCGACCGGCGCACGGGUGCGCAACGCGUAUAGAAUCUGCCCUGUACUGGGGAAUAGCCCAGAGAAAUUUGGAUUAAUGCCCCAUGGUAUGUUUAAGCGGCAUCGCUUUUACAUUAAAGGCUACGGUACAGGAUGACUAUGCGUCCCAUUAGUUAGUUGGUAAGGUAACGGCUUACCAAGGCAGCGAUGGGUAGGGGCCCUGAGAGGGGGAUCCCCCACACUGGUACUGAGACACGGACCAGACUCCUACGGGAGGCAGCAGUGAGGAAUAUUGGACAAUGGGCGGGAGCCUGAUCCAGCCAUGCCGCGUGCAGGAAGACGGUCCUAUGGAUUGUAAACUGCUUUUGUACGGGAAGAACAAGGGGCACGUGUGCCCUUCUGACGGUACCGUAAGAAUAAGGAUCGGCUAACUCCGUG
This 516-nucleotide ribosomal RNA is filed under the name uncultured Arenibacter sp. RNAcentral's name for it is "bacterial SSU rRNA". It matches the Rfam family "Bacterial small subunit ribosomal RNA", at positions 1 to 507 of the family's 1533-position model. The record is from RNAcentral. Lineage: Bacteria; Pseudomonadati; Bacteroidota; Flavobacteriia; Flavobacteriales; Flavobacteriaceae.